GAUGAACGCUGGCGGCGUGCCUAAUACAUGCAAGUCGAGCGAACGGACGAUAAGCUUGCUUCUCUGAUGUUAGCGGCGGACGGGUGAGUAACACGUGGAUAACCUACCUAUAAGACUGGGAUAACUUCGGGAAACCGUAGCUAAUACCGGAUAAUAUUUUGAACCGCAUUGUUCAAAAGUGAAAGACGGUCUUGCUGUCACUUAUAGAUGGAUCCGCGCUGCAUUAGCUAGUUGGUAAGGUAACGGCUUACCAAGGCAACGAUGCAUAGCCGACCUGAGAGGGUGAUCGGCCACACUGGAACUGAGACACGGUCCAGACUCCUAAGGGAGGCAGCAGUAGGGAAUCUUCCGCAAUGGGCGAAAGCCUGACGGAGCAACUCCGCGUGAGUGAUGAAGGUCUUCGGAUCGUAAAACUCUGUUAUUAGGGAAGAACAUAUGUGUAAGUAAAUGUGCACAUCUUGACGGUACCUAAUCAGAAAGCCACGGCUAACUACGUG
RNAcentral lists this ribosomal RNA (497 nucleotides) under uncultured bacterium. Its description in RNAcentral is "partial 16S ribosomal RNA". It matches the Rfam family "Bacterial small subunit ribosomal RNA", at positions 28 to 507 of the family's 1533-position model. The record is from RNAcentral.